GAGUUUGAUCUGGCUCAGAACGAACGCUGGCGGCGUGCCUAACACAUGCAAGUCGAACGUGAUCCAGAGCUUGCUCUGGUGAAAGUGGCGCACGGGUGAGUAACGCGUGGAUAACCUACCCUGGUAUCCGGGAUAACAUUCCGAAAGGGGUGCUAAUACCGGAUAAGCCCACGGGCUCUUUGGAGCUUGCGGGAAAAGGUGGCCUCUAUUUAUAAGCUACUGUAUCAGGAUGGGUCCGCGUACCAUUAGCUAGUUGGCGGUGUAACGGACCACCAAGGCGACGAUGGUUAGCUGGUCUGAGAGGAUGAUCAGCCACACUGGAACUGAGACACGGUCCAGACUCCUACGGGAGGCAGCAGUGGGGAAUUUUGCGCAAUGGGGGAAACCCUGACGCAGCAACGCCGCGUGAGUGAUGAAGGCCUUUGGGUCGUAAAGCUCUGUCAGAGGGGAAGAAAUGAUAUAGUGCUAAUACCACUUUAUCUUAACGGUACCCUCAAAGGAAGCACCGGCUAACUCCGUGCCAGCAGCCGCGGUAAUAC
Molecule: ribosomal RNA, 539 nt
Filed under: uncultured Geobacteraceae bacterium
Lineage: Bacteria; Pseudomonadati; Thermodesulfobacteriota; Desulfuromonadia; Geobacterales; Geobacteraceae
Description: bacterial SSU rRNA
Rfam family: Bacterial small subunit ribosomal RNA
Source: RNAcentral